AAGUGAUCCAGAUGCCCUGAGAAGGAGGAGCGGGACCAGAAUGGACAUUCUUCUUGGAAAAUCAGAGGACAAGAAAGAUCCAAACCAAGGAGGAGCUAAGCCUAACACGGGCUUCGAGGGAGCAGGAAGUCUGGGUCCCUUUGGCGUCCUGCCUGGGGUUGUCCUGGCUGCCACCCUCACCAGCCUCUCUGAGCGGAAGAACCAGGUGCGGUGCCAUGGACUCGAUGACAAUGGGAACAAGAAAGGACCUUGGGG
Molossus molossus (Pallas's mastiff bat) is the source of this 255-nucleotide long non-coding RNA. RefSeq lists it as uncharacterized. The record is from RefSeq and is a predicted model, not a curated record. NCBI's taxonomy places the organism in Eukaryota, Metazoa, Chordata, Mammalia, Chiroptera, Molossidae. The transcript has 3 exons.